GGGAAUCCGCCCUUAGGUUCGGAAUAACAGUUAGAAAUGACUGCUAAUACCGGAUGAUGACGUAAGUCCAAAGAUUUAUCGCCUAGGGAUGAGCCCGCGUAGGAUUAGCUAGUUGGUGUGGUAAAGGCGCACCAAGGCGACGAUCCUUAGCUGGUCUGAGAGGAUGAUCAGCCACACUGGGACUGAGACACGGCCCAGACUCCUACGGGAGGCAGCAGUGGGGAAUAUUGGACAAUGGGCGCAAGCCUGAUCCAGCAAUGCCGCGUGAGUGAUGAAGGCCUUAGGGUUGUAAAGCUCUUUUACCCGGGAUGAUAAUGACAGUACCGGGAGAAUAAGCCCCGGCUAACUCCGUGCCAGCAGCCGCGGUAAUACGGAGGGGGCUAGCGUUGUUCGGAAUUACUGGGCGUAAAGCGCACGUAGGCGGCUUUGUAAGUUAGAGGUGAAAGCCUGGAGCUCAACUCCAGAACUGCCUUUAAGACUGCAUCGCUUGAAUCCAGGAGAGGUGAGUGGAAUUCCGAGU
Molecule: ribosomal RNA, 520 nt
Filed under: uncultured bacterium
Lineage: Bacteria
Description: bacterial SSU rRNA
Rfam family: Bacterial small subunit ribosomal RNA
Source: RNAcentral